Molecule: long non-coding RNA, 2523 nt
Organism: Osmerus eperlanus (European smelt)
Lineage: Eukaryota; Metazoa; Chordata; Actinopteri; Osmeriformes; Osmeridae
Exons: 3
Source: RefSeq, a predicted model, not a curated record
GAGUGGCAAACGAAGAAGAUCAAGGAUGAAACUGCAGGCCUGCAGGACAUCUAUGAAAAGAUAGAAGAGGUGAUACUCGCUGCCCAGAGUCUUCCGGAAGUGACCUUGACAAUUAAAAGGCUUUCUGAGCUGGCCAUCAGUGAAAGAGUGACAUACAUCUUGACAGAAGCACAGGCAGAGCACGUGCGAGCUGCUUUCAACUGUGUUGUGUGCAAGGGGCCAGUGAGUGAGCCAGUUAUUUCCGCCUGCUGUAAAACCCUCCUAGGAUGCAAGGUCUGCAUUGACGAGUGGCUUCAAAAUGCAUCGCAGUGUGUGAAGUGCAGAGGAAAACUUCAGAGCCAAUGUGAUUGUUGUCACUGGUCUGUCUGAGGCGUUGUUAUCCUUAAAGGAUAUCAUAAAAGUGGAUUAAGUGCUGCAUCAAUGGAUCUAAGUUUGAGUUAGUGUUAAAUGUUGUGUUUUGUUAUAGUGCUACUUAAAUGUUUACAGUAACACAACCCUGGGAUAGUUACACACAUGCAUAACCUUACUAUGCUUGUCUUUUAGUUAAGUUGAUAAGAUGGAUCACUGCAUCUUUAAAAGGUGAAAGAUUUGCACUGUUGAACAGAUCUGCCAUGUCAGGGUAAGUUUCAGCAAAAAGACUUUCAACCGUAGCUUUCUCUUCUUCUGUUGAAAAGGGGUCUGUUCCAAAUGACGACUCUUGUUAAGGUGCCUCCCAGUUCCUCAGCGUAAAGGUUGGCUGCUUCAGGUGCCUGAGGCAGUAACACCUGCAAGACCUUUUUUGGGCACCCACCCCCUGCAAGUUGAUUGGGUAUAACCAGAGCACCCACGUCCCACCCCAAUGUCUGUAAGGUGCUGUGAAAUGUCAGCAUGAGUCGCAUGCCUUCUCAACAUAUCAGUAAUUAUAUCACUGUAUGCCUCAAGAGAAGCCAUGCUGGUCAUUCAAAUCACCCCCUCAGAUAGUUCAAAUUACCCGCCAGGUAAUAGCCUAGUUUUUCCAGGUCAACAGCAUCACCAGGUGGCCCAUCCUUAGGCCUACGAAUUCAUUUGAAUGACGUUCUCUCAUUGCAUUUCCACUUUUUAUAUGAAUCCAAAUUAAUAUUCAUUUGAUACGUAGAAACAAGAAAGGGUCAAUAUUUAUUUUUUAAAUCCUAAGUUAUAUAAAAAACUAUCUACUUUUCAUUCAAUUAGUGACUACAGAUUUUAGGAAAAUCAAAUACCACUUGUUUUUUGUUUUUCAUUUCACUUCCAAAAAUAGAAUAAUGAAUGAACACAAAAGUACACGGACCCGCUCAGAAUGCAUUUUCGUUUUCGAAUUAUGGGCAGUUCUUUGCGGGCAGAACACGAAAACGAAAAAGCAAUGUCUUUUUGAUUAUGGCAUAAAAUAUGCAGUCUUGAAGAAGAAAAUGCAAAUAGGAUGAUUGAUUACUAAUUUCAUUUGUGAGUCAAAUAAUGCAGCCACAUUCUUAAAAUGCAAAUAGGAUGAUUGAUUACUAAUUUCAUUUAGGCUAUGAGUCAAAUAAUGCAUACACAUUCUUAAAAUGAAAAAGCAUUUCUGCAAAUGCAUUUGAAUUUUGGUCACGAUUUGCUUCCAUAGUUGGAAGGUACUGCUACACAUACCGUUGGUUAAGGGGUUACUGGGAGGGGAAAUAAAUGCAUCGUCAGCAAGCCCCCACCCCUCGGCUUGAAGCAACGGCCCCGGUGGAUGUAGGUGGUAUUGCAUUUCUUGUUAGACUUCCGGCUCUUCCGGUCGUUUUUAUUCUAUUAACUCCAGUCAACAUUUACAAAACUAUCUCCCCCAAUAAUUUGUGUUCCAUUCUCGAACCUGGCUCGUACUACUAGCUUUUUCAUAAAAUAUUUUUUCCUGAUUUUUGCUAAAUUUGAAACCAAUCCGAAAUGGGUAAACUAGCACCCCAUUUAUUUGCUUACGUCAAUAAAAGUUGCCUGCAAAUGUGCUCGCGGAUACUAACAGGGCACGAGCACAAAAGUUCACAUUGGCCGAUAGCCGAUUUACCUGGAGCUGAAUGAGCCAUAAUGAAUGAGCACAGGGAGAAAUGGCUUGAGUUGCCUGCCCUGUUGUAGCAAGUUUAGCAAAUGGUUGUCACACAUACAUUAAAUGUUGUUAAUAUAGUUUAUUCCUGUUAUUUUAAAACAGAUUUGAUUUUUCUGUCAAGAACGUUUUUACGUACAUGACAUGAUGGCAAAUAUUACAUUAUGUUAAGCGUGAGCAUAUUGUUGACAUGUCUAUCUGGAGCAAAGACGAAGAUUAAUACUUUAACUGAUAACCACAAUAAGAAAUGAUAUAAAUACGAUUAGUCUUGCCUUCAGAAGCUUUUGUUAAACACACCCAUUAUUCUUUUUUUUUUUAAAUCUGUCAUCAAGCCAGACUGCUUUUGUGGGACAAUGAAGGUCCUCAGUGACUGUUUGACCCCCACUUAUAUCUGAUGGAAACGUCUUGUAGGCUAUAUAGGCCUAGUUCUGUUAAUAUGCCCCUUUCAAAGGCAAAUGUUAAAUAAAGUAUAUUUU